GCUGAAAGCUUGCUUUUUUCGCGUCUAUAAGACACUAAUCAAUCCGACUUUGCUUGUUUAAUACUAUUGAGCAUGAAGAGCAUUGUAGCAGGGUUGAUGAAAAUACAAUUGGGGAUUGUGCUCAAUUCGUAUUUGCACCUAUUGAUGAAUCAUCUGUUGAUGAUGCUUUUUUACUCCCUUUUGGAUUUUGUGUCAUACCAUUGGAUCCUAAAACACUACCAUGACUCACCAGUAUGUGCGUUAGUGUUGUGGGGUAUGUUUAGAGGGUUGCAAUGGCAAUUGCUUCGUCUAGGCUCAGUAUUCAACUGGGACUAAAGUCUCUCCCUGGUUCACCGGAGGCUCUUACUUUGGCAAGAUAGAUCAGCC
Molecule: long non-coding RNA, 366 nt
Organism: Arachis duranensis
Lineage: Eukaryota; Viridiplantae; Streptophyta; Magnoliopsida; Fabales; Fabaceae
Exons: 3
Source: RefSeq, a predicted model, not a curated record